UGAGGUAGUAGGUUGUGUG
RNAcentral lists this non-coding RNA (19 nucleotides) under Ovis aries (sheep). The record is from RNAcentral. Lineage: Eukaryota; Metazoa; Chordata; Mammalia; Artiodactyla; Bovidae. RNAcentral also lists the same sequence under 1 other name.